This 255-nucleotide ribosomal RNA is filed under the name uncultured bacterium. Its description in RNAcentral is "partial 16S ribosomal RNA". It matches the Rfam family "Bacterial small subunit ribosomal RNA", at positions 524 to 776 of the family's 1533-position model. The record is from RNAcentral.
GACAGGGGGUGCAAACGUUGUUCGGAAUCACUGGGCAUAAAGCGCACGUAGGCGGCCAACUAAGUCAGAUGUGAAAGCCCCCGGCUCAACCGGGGAACAGCACCUGAUACUGGUUGGCUCGAGGACGGUAGGGGUGAGUGGAACUCCAGGUGGAGCGGUGAAAUGCGUAGAUAUUCGCAAGAACACCAGUGGCGAAGGCGGCUCACUGGCCCGGUACUGACGCUGGAGGUGACGAAAGCGUGGGGAGCAAACAGG